UUGUUUUCUCCAUUUGUUACUACUUGAAAAAUUUCAAAAUCGAGUAUUAUGAUUUCGUUUAUUUGAAUAGGAAGAUCUGAUGC
RNAcentral lists this small nucleolar RNA (83 nucleotides) under Gossypium hirsutum (cotton). RNAcentral's name for it is "Small nucleolar RNA snoR64a". It matches the Rfam family "Small nucleolar RNA snoR64a". Lineage: Eukaryota; Viridiplantae; Streptophyta; Magnoliopsida; Malvales; Malvaceae. The record is from Rfam by way of RNAcentral.